RNAcentral lists this non-coding RNA (233 nucleotides) under Paucilactobacillus suebicus. RNAcentral describes it as "Lactobacillus suebicus T-box sequence". It matches the Rfam family "T-box leader". Rfam says of the family: Uncharged tRNA acts as the effector for transcription antitermination of genes in the T-box leader family. T-boxes are found upstream of many aminoacyl-tRNA synthetase genes and some amino acid biosynthetic genes usually in Gram-positive bacteria. Lineage: Bacteria; Bacillati; Bacillota; Bacilli; Lactobacillales; Lactobacillaceae. The record is from RNAcentral.
UAAAAAACGAUGAAAAGAUGAGUAGUGACAGUAGCCUGUUAAGAGAGUUUCUGGUUGGUGUGAAGAAACCUGGUAAUAGUUACGAAUAUGGUCUUGAAGUGAGGGAUGUCGAGCGAUGCAAGAUAUCCAUGGGGACGCCCAUUACCGCGUGAGGGUAUGAUUGUACCCGAUAAGGGAAUGCAUGUGAGUGCAUUCCAAAAUAAGGUGGUAACACGGCCAAGAUCGUCCUUACU